CCUACGUGAGGCAGCAGUGGGGAAUAUUGGACAAUGGGCGAAAGCCUGAUCCAGCCAUGCCGCGUGUGUGAAGAAGGCCUUCGGGUUGUAAAGCACUUUCAGUGGGGAAGAAAGCCUUGGGGCUAAUACCCUCGAGGAAGGACAUCACCCACAGAAGAAGCACCGGCUAACUCCGUGCCAGCAGCCGCGGUAAUACGGAGGGUGCGAGCGUUAAUCGUAAUUACUGGGCGUAAAGCGCGCGUAGGCGGUCUGAUAAGCCGGUUGUGAAAGCCCCGGGCUCAACCUGGGAACGGCAUCCGGAACUGUCAGGCUAGAGUGCAGGAGAGGAAGGUAGAAUUCCCGGUGUAGCGGUGAAAUGCGUAGAGAUCGGGAGGAAUACCAGUGGCGAAGGCGGCCUUCUGGACUGACACUGACGCUGAGGUGCGAAAGCGUGGGUAGCAAACAGGAUUAGAUACCCCUGUAGUC
Molecule: ribosomal RNA, 465 nt
Filed under: Vreelandella stevensii
Lineage: Bacteria; Pseudomonadati; Pseudomonadota; Gammaproteobacteria; Oceanospirillales; Halomonadaceae
Description: partial 16S ribosomal RNA
Rfam family: Bacterial small subunit ribosomal RNA
Source: RNAcentral